This 503-nucleotide ribosomal RNA is filed under the name uncultured bacterium. Its description in RNAcentral is "bacterial SSU rRNA". It matches the Rfam family "Bacterial small subunit ribosomal RNA", at positions 336 to 856 of the family's 1533-position model. The record is from RNAcentral.
CUCCUACGGGAGGCAGCAGUGGGGAAUAUUGCACAAUGGAGGAAACUCUGAUGCAGCGAUGCCGCGUGAGGGAAGAAGGUUUUCGGAUUGUAAACCUCUGUGUACAGGGACGAUAAUGACGGUACCUGUUCAGAAAGCUCCGGCUAACUACGUGCCAGCAGCCGCGGUAAUACGUAGGGAGCGAGCGUUGUCCGGAAUUACUGGGUGUAAAGGGAGUGUAGGCGGGACGGCAAGUCAGAUGUGAAAUUUAGGGGCUCAACCCCUGACCUGCAUUUGAAACUGCUGUUCUUGAGUGAAGUAGAGGUAAGCGGAAUUCCUAGUGUAGCGGUGAAAUGCGUAGAUAUUAGGAGGAACAUCAGUGGCGAAGGCGGCUUACUGGGCUUUAACUGACGCUGAGGCUCGAAAGCGUGGGGAGCAAACAGGAUUAGAUACCCUGGUAGUCCACGCCGUAAACGAUGAUUACUAGGUGUGGGGGGACUGACCCCUUCCGUGCCGCAGUAACA